RNAcentral lists this ribosomal RNA (394 nucleotides) under uncultured bacterium. RNAcentral describes it as "partial 16S ribosomal RNA". It matches the Rfam family "Bacterial small subunit ribosomal RNA", at positions 523 to 918 of the family's 1533-position model. The record is from RNAcentral.
AUCCGUAGGGGGCGAGCGUUAUCCGGAAUUAUUGGGCGUAAAGAGUACGUAGGUGGCCACCUAAGCGCAAGGUGAAAGCCCGGGGCUUAACUCCGGCGAGCCUUGUGAACUGGGCGGCUUGAGUGCAGGAGGGGAAAGUGGAAUUCCUGGUGUAGCGGUGAAAUGCGUAGAUAUCAGGAGGAACACCGGUGGCGAAGGCGACUUUCUGGACUGUAACUGACACUGAGGUACGAAAGCGUGGGGAGCAAACAGGAUUAGAUACCCUGGUAGUCCACGCCGUAAACGAUGAGCACUAGGUGUUGGCGUAGAAAUACGUCGGUGCCGAAGUUAACGCAUUAAGUGCUCCGCCUGGGGAGUACGCACGCAAGUGUGAAACUCAAAUGAAUUGGCGGGG